Molecule: ribosomal RNA, 496 nt
Filed under: uncultured bacterium
Lineage: Bacteria
Description: partial 16S ribosomal RNA
Rfam family: Bacterial small subunit ribosomal RNA
Source: RNAcentral
GAUGAACGCUGGCGGCGUGCCUAAUACAUGCAAGUCGAGCGAACAGACGAGGAGCUUGCUCCUCUGACGUUAGCGGCGGACGGGUGAGUAACACGUGGAUAACCUACCUAUAAGACUGGGAUAACUUCGGGAAACCGGAGCUAAUACCGGAUAAUAUAUUGAACCGCAUGGUUCAAUAGUGAAAGACGGUUUUGCUGUCACUUAUAGAUGGAUCCGCGCCGCAUUAGCUAGUUGGUAAGGUAACGGCUUACCAAGGCAACGAUGCGUAGCCGACCUGAGAGGGGGAUGGCCCAAAGGGAAACUGAGACAGGCCAAAGAUCCACGGGGGGGCACGCAAUGGGAACUUCGCCGAAAGGGGGAAAACUUGGCGGGAGAAGCCGCGCGUGAGAAAGAAGGUUUUUGGGUGUAAAAAACUGUGUGUUUAGGAAAAAACAAAUGUGAAAGUAAAGAUCAACGUUUGACGGUAACUAAACAGAAAGGCACGGCUAACUACGGU